This 11354-nucleotide long non-coding RNA is filed under the name Nicotiana tabacum (common tobacco). RNAcentral's name for it is "long non-coding RNA (NTAB_LNC007387)". Lineage: Eukaryota; Viridiplantae; Streptophyta; Magnoliopsida; Solanales; Solanaceae. The record is from RNAcentral.
AAAUUUUAACGUACAAAAAUGCGGGAUGUAAUAUCUCAUUUCCGAGCUUUCAUCAAUUUAUUUAUGGAAUACUUUCACUUACAAAAAUAUGGGGUGUAACACUCACUUAGUAAAUGAGUGUAUGAUUGUAUCUAUACAGUCGGGUGUGGACAUUGCACAUAUUCAAGCAUUCUCCUUAGCACUUGAGGAAAGGAAGCAGAAGUUGAGGGCUGACAGAGAUAGAAGCUUGAGGUGCUAGUAGACAUCAUAGUGACAGGCAACCAGUAGCUAGUACUCCUUCAAGAUUUCAGGUGCCAAGAUUUUAUCGACCUCCACAGUCUAGAUCUAGUCAGCCAUGGUCAUGAUCCCAAUAUCGAGAUGUUUCUAGUUAGGGUGGUUGAGUUUACCCUAGGUGUUCUGAUUUUUGGAGAUUCGAUUUGGGCCGAUGCUAGUUAGGUGUAGAUGCAUAAUAUAUUUUUGGCGAGUUAGUCCAUUUUAUGAGAGAUUGACCGACUUGGGGUGGCAGUGGUGUAGCUCAACCAGCGAGAUAAAUUCCAGCUUCUUCAGCACCAGCACGCCCACAAGGUAAAGUUCCUCAUACACCAGCAGGCCGUGGUAGAAGUCGAAAUGGAGCUCCUAAUACAAGCGGUCCCCAUAACCGCACCUAAGCUCUGGUUGGUUUCUAGGACCGGGAGGCUUCAUCAGACGUCGUUAGAGGUACUUUAUCAGUGAAUUAUCUUAAUCUGUAUGUGUUGAUAGAUCCUGGUUCUACACUAUCAUAUCUUACUCACUUUGUUGCUGCUAUGUUUGGGAUAAAACCAAAAGUGUCACGACUCAAACCAAUGGGCCGCGACGGGUGCCCGAAUCCUACAUGUGGAACAUCCUUAAGCAUGCAUUUAACAUAUAAACAUGAAUAAUAUACGUGAGGGAAACCUAUCCAAAAGACAUAUGUACAUAUACAUGCGGAAUAUAGUGGACGAGCCGGCAAGGCUGCUAUAGACAACUAUAUAUCCAAAACUGGAAGCCGACAAGGCCGCAUACUAUUCAACUAUACAUAACUGUCUACAGACCUCUAAUAGAAAAUACAAUGGUAGAAGGAUGUGACUGGGCCACAUCAUACCCAUAUAUGUAUACAAGCAUAUCGUACCAAAAUCAAAAGCAGCUUCGGAUCAAGUGGAGCACGCCAACACUCAUUGACAAAGGAUCCUAAGAAUGGGAACCGUCAGCUUGCCUACCUGCACCCGCGGGCAUGAAAUACAGGCGCCGAGAAAUGGGGAGUCAGUACAAAUAACGUACUGAGUAUGCAAGGUGUGAAAAUCAGUACAUAAGAGAUAUAGAUGAAACAUGGAAUAAGAAAUUCUGCCUGUAAGUCUGAAUUACUUUGCAAAUCCUGAAAAAGUUAUAAUGUCAUGCACAUGCGUGUAAAUGUCAUAUCAUAUAUAGGUAUAGAUGUACAUAACAUCAUCAAGCUUCUGAGGGCAUCUCAUCAUAUCAUCUCAGCCACUGUGGGCAAAAUCAUCAACAUAUACCAACUGAUCAGGAGAUGGUGUGUCUAUAACACCGUAACCUUUCCCAUAUCCCAUAUACAUAUAUAUACGCGUAUAUAACGCCAUCUAGUCAUGGGUCAAUGUAGAUGUAUAAAUGAAUAAAUGCAUAAAAAUAUGUUAAUAAAAUCAAUAUACUUUUCGGAUAAACUAUAUGAACUAUGUACAUUUCUAAGACCCGUGAACAAAAGAUGUAAUAAUAAGAUAUAUGGGAAUUCAAGAGCAUAGGUACAUCUAGUACUCCUAUGAAUAGAGUUAUUUAUGAAAAUUGUGCAUUUGCUCAUUUCGUUUGUAUCGUAUGAAUUAUGCCAAAAAGAAAGAAGGGAUAGCCUUAACAUACUUGAGUCGAUUCUCUUGAGAAAGAUUACACUGUACUCCCUUAAUAUUACAAAAUCUCAAAUUAAUUAAGAAGCUAUGAAAUCUCUGCUUGAAUUAUUGAAGAUCUGUACCUUACUUGUUGAAAUCUUUGUUUGAAUUAGAGUCUUCGUUAUUCUUUAAAUUGUUGAAAAAGACGUAGUUUCAGAUUGCACCAGAAUUAGAAUCUUUUAUAUUCUUUAAAUUGUUGCAAGGUACAUAUCUAUCUUUGAAUUAAACGGACCUAUGUUGAAAUGAUUGCCACCUAACCCAUAGUGAGUAAGAGUCAUAUGGUUUGGUAGUGGCUUGCUACCACGUGGGCUGGGGAGGUUUUUAAUCUUUAUCCAUAACUCAUUAUUUAAUUAGGUAAUAUCCUGUUACCCAAUAAUUAAACGAUUUUCUUCAUAAUUAAGAAUUAUCUCAAAUUACUUAAUAUUCUACUCACUUUUAAUACACUUUACUUACCAUACUAUCGUGGUCAAGGGGUACCUUGUAUAGUGUUGCUCCGAAAAGCACACGCAAGUAUACAUGGUCGACAAGUAAUAGAGGAUUGUAAGUCCAGAUAUUGUACCCACAGGGACUUGUGAUUAACUAUCGACUAAAUUAAACCAAACAAUUAAUCUAUUCAAGCAAAUCCUAAAGUAUGAAUAUUUUACUAAAAAUAAUCUAAAGUAACAAAUUAAGAGAUCAAAGAAAACUACGACAAGCUUAACGACGAAUUCAAUGUGGGUGAAUAUUCUAGAGUUAUGGGUUAGCUAACAAUCCCGUUGAGUUUUCCACUUAAAUCAUCUAAAUAAUUUAUCUGGUUUAUUGGUUGACAGGGUUAAUAUUGCUCGUAGCCUUCUCCCGAAGUACAACUCGCCUAUUCAUGCUAACCUAACGCCUAUAUUCCUAUGGAAUUAGAAUUAACAAAAACGCAUUAAUAAUUCCUGUAUAGUAACCAAGCAAGGCGAUUGGGUAUAUUUCUAUCCUAACCGCAAAUCUGCCCUCCCUCAGAGUUAAGAUCUUGCUCUAUUCAAUCUUAUAUGCAAUCUAGAAUUUCCUCUCCCGAGUUUAAUCCUAGAUUCGUAGAUAGUAUUUAAUUGGUGAUCAAGCAAUUAAAUAAUUAAGCACAAGAUUGAAUAAAUAAACCAAUAUGAUAAAAUAAUAAGAACAAUCUAAGCUUCAAACUACAACGUUCAUGUAGCACCUAAAACUCUAGGACUAAUAAACUAUGAAACUAAAAGAAGAGAAGAGAAGAAAAACUAGUUAGAAGCCUCCUCCAUGCGUGGUGUAUGUUCCUCCACGUCUCCUUAGGUCUAAGAUCUAUCAAAAGUCUGUUCGAUCUCCAAAAAAACAUUUUUCCAUGUAUAUAUACCAAGUAGUGUUGAGCCCAAACGAAAACACCUUCUCCUGCACGAAAUAGGACUCUGGCUUUGUAAAUUUUGUACAACCGCGCCGCACCAUGCGCUGCGCCAUGCACCGCGCUAAUGGAGUUUAUCAGCAGCCUCAACUUUUCACAUCAAGCAACAUUUUACACUACUGUGCCGCGCCUUGCAGCGUCCCAUGCGGCGCAGCAUUGUAAUUUUCUCAGAGUGAACUUAUUUCGUCCUCUUUUAACAUUCGGAUUUGGUACACGACCUCCGAACACGAUCCCGACUUAAUGUCUUGGGCUUUUACUCAGACUUCAAAGCUCCAAAUCACUUGAAUUCAUUCCAUAACACCUACAUAGGUCGGAAUCACUCCCACAAGGCAUAAAAACAUAUUUAGUGCAAAACACUAGCGAUUAAAGCUCAAACUCAACUAAAGUGCAGUAAAUUAGAGUGUAAUAAGAGACUAAAAUACACAUCUAUAGCCUAUCAUCAAUACCCCACACUUAAACCAUUGCUCGUCCUCGAGCAAUCAAACUACACUUUAUAUAGACACGACCUUUUAAACAAUUCUCCUAACUCAUCACACCGAGAAUAUUUAAAAUAGACUAAGCACAAGAGCAUAACAUCUUAACCUCAAGAUUUGACUUACAAGUACCACGCAUUAUUCACAACUCACUCACUUACUCUAACAUAGAGGUCAAUGAUAUUACCUUUCCUUCAUGAAUCAAGUGCCCUCACACAACAAAAGAGAGUAGUUCCACAUACUAAAAUUUAAGAAUAAUUAGGAACUCAAGAUAGAAAGAAUUCACUCACGCUCAGAAAUAACAUUCAUAUGCCACAAACGAUGCACCAUAGACUUGCCCGUAGUGUACUACUCUACUAAUCGAGUUCAUUCAGUCUAGGAUCAAGUAGGACUUUAUUUGGUUGUAAUGUAGGCUGCGAAACAGGUAGGAUACAUUUGGAUAUAAAAGUGACUACACCUCCCUAAGCACUUUAAUACAUACACUUUACCAUUGAAAACCCCACACUUAUGUCAAACCAUAACUCCACCUUCACAUCAACAUAUAUUAACUCCUCACUUCUUUAAGAACAAGUAUAUCACUAGCCACCACCAUCUAGAAUUAUUUUUCACAACAAUACAACUAAUUUUUUUUUCCAAUUCAUGUGGCUCUUACUUUUUCAAAACAGUGCACAUUUCUCCUUAUUUCAUUAGUUCCACUCAAAAGCCAAACCAACCACCCAACACUUUAACUUUUACAAAGUUCAUAACAAUUCAAGUUCUCAUGAGAGGUGAAAAGGUUCAAAUACAUGGUUCAUUCAACAAAUGGAUAAAACUUGUAAUGUGGUUGCCAAAAAACAGGAUUACAGGCUCAACGGGGUUAACUAUGAUACAUAAUAAUUAGGCCGGUAAUAUAUUUAUAUGGCUCAACAAAUAAACGCCUAUAUCACUUCCAAGAUUGAACAAAGCUACUAUUUCUCUUUGCAAAUACACGGGGCAAGUUCUAGACAUCAAAUGCAAUGCACAGAAUAAUACAAAACUUUACACACACAUGGCACAUAACUCACUCAGUAUUGGACUCAUCAAGACACUCUAGUCAAAGAAGUUAAGCAAAGUUAAGAUCGUACAAUUUAAGGUGCUUAUAUAAGAGUCAAAAACUGAGCUUAAGCGUCACAACAAAAGUACUCACUAUUCUCAAAGCAUGACAAAGUUAAAAGAUAUUGCUUCAAUUUUAAUCAUAACACAAUGGCUUCUCUCCUAAAAAAAUAAAACUACCUACACCCGGUUCAAACAAAACUCUUGGAAAAGAACCGCGUCACAAAGAAAAACCAAGGGGGAAUUGCUACACAACCUACAAAGAAAAUCUUUUUGUCCUUUUUCUUUAGAUUUAAAUCCCUCAAGAAAACUGUUUAGGAAAUCCAUCGUCGGGAAAAGUCCAAAUUUUUUUUUUGACAAAACUCCUACUACAAUUAAGCUAAAAUAGCACAGAAAAUCACCCAAACAAUCUCCUCACGCCACAUUUAAAAUUGUGCAAUGUCCUCAAUGCACACUAUAAAUAAAAAUAGGGUAAAAGAGACUCCCUGGUAGGCCAAAGGCCAAAGAAUUAGCAGCUCACGGGAUACUCAAACUUCUCCCACGUAUGAUCCUUUGUGUGGGUACCUCACACUUAGUUUCAACCACCUGCACUCUUUUGCACAUGCCUAUUGGCUUUGCCUCCUGCUUCUACUCCUACAAAACACAAAACUAAUACUAAAAAAAAUCAACACAAUAAAAGAAAAAAUAAAUAAAAGAAAAAGAAAAGAAAAAAAAUAGAAUUGGGUUGCCUCCCAACAAGCGCUUGAUUUAACGUCACGGCACGACGCCAUCACUUCACCACUUGUGCUUCCACUUUGAGGAUAUGAAUUGUGCCCCCAAUUUUGCAUCAAUUUUUCUGUCACGUUCCUGAGGCGGUGGUAUGAAAAUAAAGGAACCAAGUAAAUAAUAUCGCAUCUUUCACUUCUUAGCUUUUAAGUGAGGGAUGUCGUUUUGUCUCCUCGGCAUCAUAAAUUUCAGAAUAUAUGCACCCAGGUCCUCGUACAUUGUCUCCUCCAAAGGCUCAAAUGACUCGAUUUCUAUGUCAUCAUCCAAACACAAUGUUGAAAAAUGUAUGGAACGAGGACCAAUACGCCCUAACUCUAUAAUUGUAUCACUAUUUACAUCCUCAUAUGUACACACAUUAGAGUCUUUAAAUAAAAUAUUAUCUACUUCCUCACAUUACUCUAGAGUGCUUUUCGCAACAUGGACAUCAUUAAUAAAAGUACGGUCGAAUGAUUGACUCUCCAAUUUUAGCUCCUCGAUUUUGGCGUAUAAGCUCCUUUUCAGUUUCACACAACUCAGAACUAUUUUGUUGGGCGUUAGACGCAUCAACCUUUGCAAUCAAUUGAGCUCCCAAGUCGUGAAUAGUUGUGCCAAAUUUUUCGAUCUCUUGUCCUAGUUCAGCUCUUCCUUCUAUUAGGUCUUGUAUCCCAUAUGCAAUUUUUUCACGUUGAGACUCAUAUAUUUCCAAUCUUUCAGCUUGUUCCACCAGCCAAGUUUGACUCAAAAUCUCCUCUUUUUCAAAAUUGUCCUCUUGCUGGUACUCGCUCUCUUCAUUCAAUUCUUCCAUAUUGGCCUUCAUUCUUGUGAUUGUUGCCCUCAUUCUUUUCAUAUAUUUUCUGAGUUCAUCACGUUGCUCUGCUACUUGCCUAAGAAUAUUCCUAAAAUAUGCAUCAUAUUCCAUAUCCUUUACUUCAUUGCCCCUAUCAAACUAAUACACAUUAUUAGAAACAUUAUAAUAAGAGCUCUGAGAAGGAUAAUAAGAAUUAGGAUAGCCAUCCCAAUGGCCAUCUUGACCACGACAGAUAUUACAAAUAUUCCACUCAAAGGAUUGAGAUUGUACAUACAACUCGCUCCUGGGAACAUUCUGACAAUUUUCCCACCAGUGAGGUCCUCCACAAUAUGGACAAGGAUCACCAUAAUAAGAAUAACCAAUAUUUGAUCAAUUAUCAUUCCAAGAUGCCAUGUUAACAAAGAUAGUAAAUAUUAACCUAAGAUAAAAAUUAAAAAAAAAACAUGAAUAGACAAAGAGUAAAACUCUACUGUAGUAGUCUAGUUAAUUUCUAAGUCCCCAGCAAUGGCGCCAAAAAUUUGUUGCUCCCAAACGCACACACAAGUAUACAUGGUCAACAAGUAAUAGAGGAUUGUAAGUCCAGAUAUUGUACCACAGGGACUUGGGAUUAACUAUCAACUAAAUUAAACCAAACAAUUAAUCUAUUCAAGCAAAUCCUAAAGUAUGAAUAUUUUACUAAAAUUAAUCUAAAGUUACAAAUUAAGAGAUCAAGGAAAACAAUGACAAGCUUAACGACGAAUUCAAUGUGGGUGAUAUUCUAGAGUUAUGGGUUAGCUAACAAUCCCGUUGAGUUUUCCACUUAAAUCAUCUAAAUUAUUUAUCUGGUUUAUUGGUUGACAGGGUUAAUAUUGCUCGUAGCCUUCUCCCGAAGUACAACUCGCCUAUUCAAGCUAACCUAACGCCUAUAUUCCAAUGGAAUUAGAAUUAACAAGAACGCAUUAAUAAUUCCUGUAUAGUAACCAAGAAAGGNNNNNNNNNNNNNNNNNNNNNNNNNNNNNNNNNNNNNNNNNNNNNNNNNNNNNNNNNNNNNNNNNNNNNNNNNNNNNNNNNNNNNNNNNNNNNNNNNNNNNNNNNNNNNNNNNNNNNNNNNNNNNNNNNNNNNNNNNNNNNNNNNNNNNNNNNNNNNNNNNNNNNNNNNNNNNNNNNNNNNNNNNNNNNNNNNNNNNNNNNNNNNNNNNNNNNNNNNNNNNNNNNNNNNNNNNNNNNUCUAGAAUUUUCUCUCCCGAGUUUAAUCCUAGAUUCGUAGAUAGUAUUCAAUUAGUGAUCAAGCAAUUAAAUAAUUAAGCGCAAGAUUGAAUAAAUAAACCAAUAUGAUAAAAUAAUAAGAACAAUCUAAGCUUCAAACUACAACGUUCAUGUAGCACCCAAAACUCUAGAACUAAUAAGCUAUGAAACUAAAAAAAGAGAAGAGAAGAAAAACUAGUUAGAAGCCUCCUCCAUGCGUGGUUUAUGUUCCUCCACGUCUCCUUAGGUCUAAGAUCUAUCAAAAGUCUGUUCGAUCUUUAAAUAAUGUUUUUCCCUGUAUAUAUACCAAGUAGGGUUGAGCCUAGACGAAAACACCUUCUCCUACACGAAAUAAGACUCUGGCUUUCUAAAUUUUGUACAUUCGCGCCGCACCAUGCGCCGCGCUAUGAGCCACGCUAAUGGAGUUUAUCAGCAACCUCAACUUUUCACAUCAAGCAACAUUUUACACUGCUGCGCCGCGCCUUGACGCGCAAUGUAAUUUUCUCAGAGUGAACUUAUUUCGUCCUCUUUUAACAUUCAGAUUUGGUACACGACCUCUGAACACGAUCCUGGCUUAAUGUCUUGGGCUUUUACUCAGACUUCAAAGCUCCAAAUCACUUGAAUUCAUUGCAUAACACCUACAUAGAUCGGAAUCACUCCUACAAGGCAUAAAACACAUAUUUACUGCAAAACACUAGCGAUUAAAGCUCAAACUCAAUUAAAGUGCAGUAAAUUAGAGUGUAAUAAGAGACUAAAAUACACAUCUAUAAUCUAUCAUCAUAUAGCACUAGUCCAUAAAUAUCGGGUAUUAUGGCUCGGAUUGUAUUUUAUCCCAAUUCGACAACCUUCAAUGAAACUCUUUUUCUUUAAUUCGUUUACCCUUUAUCCUUCACAGUACUUACUUAUCGAUUUUUAUAAAUAGCAUAAAUACGUUAACCUCAAGAUAAUCUCAUCCCCAAGUCUACGUCGAUUAAUUGAGGAUGAAACUUUAACAUGUAAAAACAUGAGAUGUAACAUCUUUCUCCCUUAGAAACAUUCAUCCUCGAAUGUUUAACUCCCCUAGAUCUAUAUAAAUUUGGUAGAGUCACCUUUGUAAUAAUACUACUACUGAAUUAUCCUAUAGAAACUCAAUAAUUCAAUGCCACAUAGGACCAUAAUCAUAAAUAACGACAAUGGCCUCACGCGACCAAUCACAAUAACUAACACAAGAAUUCAUACACGUACCUUAAGGUUGUAAUGUCUCAGUUGGACUCUCCUCUAGAAGAGGAAAUAAGUGAGGAUAUCUGUAAGGCCCCAGAAAGUUUUGCUAAGUAAAAUAGGAUUUCGUGGUGCCAGGUAGGCUAAUUAUAAUAUUUUAUGUGCUAUUAACAUGAUGGACAUCAAUUGAAUUUGGUAAAUAAGUGUAUAAGUCAUAUAAUAAGUAAUUUGGGGACCAAGGAAAGUCCUAAGUCUAAGUCAAAUUGAAAAUUUUCAUAAUGGGCUAAAAUUCCAAAUGAGUUUGCACAAGUUCACACUUUGAACGAGCAUAUAUAAAUAUAUAUAAGGUUUUAUGUGAUGAACAACCUACAAAUAAAAGGUCUUUGAGUCUGGUUUCUAACGCUUCAAACCGUUCAUCGUUUGGAAAUUCCUACACAACGUUAUGAUCAAAUUACCAAAGGAUGGCAAAAUGCGAUCCCGUGGCAGAUUCUAUGAACGCAAAAUGGACCAGUGUAGCCCAGUUUUGGUCACCUAUUUUGCGGUGCCUCAAGCGACCCGCAUACCAAUUAUUCGAUCCCUUAUGCGACCGCAAACCCGAGUUCAGAGAGUUAAUUUUCCUAUUUUCAUUACCCGACCACAUUUUAGUAUAUAGGCUUUAGGGCUUCAUUUGGGGCGUUAUUCUGAUGAUUUUAGAGAGAGUUAAGAGAAUUUUAGAGAGAGAAGGAGGGAGCCUAACAUUCUAACCAUUCAAUCUUUCAUCAAUCUUCAAGAAUCAAGGAAAGCAAUCACAAGAUCUUCAUCUAAAGAGAUUGGGAUUGCUAGAAAUUUUUGGAAUGUUGUAGUAACUUAAGGAAAUCUAAAACAAGGUAUGUAUGACUAAAACCCCCUCUUCUUAGAAAUUGAUCUCCCAUGGUGUCCAUGCAAAUAUUGUAAGUCUGAAAUUUGAUUGAUGUAGUACUUGUUAUUUCAAAGGAAUUGGUGUUGCAAGACUGUAUGCGAAAGGUAUAUCUCAAUGUGUUCAAUAUGCUAUUCUUGGUAAAUUGAGGAUAUGUGAAGAGUGUGAACUAUGUGCUAAAAUGCCUAGAUCUCAAGUCAAGUUUAAAUUGAGAUUGUUAUGCCAAACUAUGUGAAAUCAUCUAUUUCUAAAGAUGUUUGAAAUAAAUCAAAUGAAUUGGGAAAUAGAGUGUUGCCAACGUGCCGAGAACUUGAGCUAUAGUUGUGCCUGGUGAUUCCUAUGACAUGAGAAUAUAUGAAACAGAUUAUGAAAUGAGCCUUGACUCUACUUUCCAUAAAUGACUUCAAUAACAAAGUGUCCUAAAGACUUUGUACACAAUUUAUCCCCAUAAGUGGCUGUUCGAGGUAAAGUUUUGCCUUAUAAGUACAUCCAUGAGAUCCGAGUUGUUACAUGCUCCGAUGUUGAAAUUGUAUAUUGUCGUGAUUGGAAAAGCGUAAUUCAUGAAUAAUUGGUGUAAUUGCUUGUUUAUGACUUUGAUGUGCGUUUUGUUUGUGGUUUGGUGUGUCCCCUCCUUUUUAGAAGAAUCAUUUGUGUUUAAAGUUCCAUUGCUAAUGAACUUGAGGUGUAUGAUUUCUGAAAUAUUGUAUAUGCCCAUGAUUCAUGAUUUGUCUCGUAUGUACUUGACAUCUUGCAUUGAAUGGCUUGUUGCUGAAAUUGAUAUUGAUGUCAAAAGUAGGGGAAAAGAGCUCAAAUUAUGAAAUGUGGCCUAGUGCCAAGUAUAAUGUGAUAAUUGUAUCCCUAAGUGCCAAUGAAUUGAUAUAUGUAAAGUAAAGAUUGAAAUGAGAUGAUAUAUGAAAAAGGAAAAAGGUCUUGGUAAGACGGCCUAGCCGUUCGGGCCGUGAUCGGACGCCAUGCCGCACACAUGGUGGUAUUAUGCUGAUAUUGAAAUCGGAAAGUGAGAAUGAAAUUGUGACUGAGGUACAUGUCUCAAAUGAGGCAACCUAGCCGACCGGUUCAUGAUCGGACUCCGCUCAAGAAGGCGGUGGUAUUAUGAAUGAUGGUGCAACAGUAUGAAAUUUCCCAACCUAAAGCUAUGGAAAUUAUGUAAAAGCUUUGUGAUUCCUUUUAUUUGAUGAUGUGGUGAUUGUUUAAAGCAUUUGUUGAAACCCUAUGAUUUCUUUGUUCUUGUAUUGUGGUUCUUUCUAAUGAGAUGGUGUUUAGUUAUACAUACUACUGCUAUUCGAUGACACUAAUGUCCCUUUUGUCGGGGGCGCUACAUCUUUAAAUGUAUGUAGGUGGUUCCAUAGCAGGCAAUGUUGGUCGCAGUUAGUGACGCAUCUUCCUUUCAGCUGACUUGGAGAGCCCUACUUCAUUUCGGGGUCCUGUACCGUUAUUUAUCAUGUACUUUAUAUUUUGAGGUAUUGCCGGAGCCUUGUUGUUGGCAUUUUCAUAUUACUCUUCAUUUAUAUUUAGAGGCUCCGUAUACAGGUUGUGGGUGGAGUUUGAUAAUGGGGAAUUGAUUUAGAAAUAUCGAUAUAUGGCAAAAAUGUAUAAAACUUGUAAUAUUUUGAAAAUUAUGAACGAAGUUAGUAAUGGAAAUGAA